UCAUCUGCAACAUUUAUAUCCUUUAAAGCUUUCUAGUUAGGAAUAACACCUAUAUUUUUCCUUACAAGCAGGUGAUGGAUACCUUUCAAAUGAAACAAUGGCAACCCUUUUGAAGCAAAGCAUAACAUUUCUAUCCUAAAAAGCUUUCAAGUUAGGAAUAAUACCUUUAAUUUUUCCUUAUAAGCAGGAAAACAUAUUUGGUUCUAGAACAGAAAACCUGGUUGAAUCCUUUGUAACUUGUAUUGAAUUAUUGGAAAAUCAAGUUUGUUGAUAUGACGAGUCUCAACUUCGAUGACCAAGAUGGUAAGAUACUUUACAUGUUUGCUUGAGUGUGUUGAAGUUGGAAAUUGGUACCUAAUGUACACGUUUCUUUUCAGGGAUACUGAGAACUAUUUCGGAUGCACCACCAAUCCAUUACACAGUAAAACUACAAUCGAUUUCGUUGCUCACCAAACAUAACUUGGAGAAAUAUGAAUCUGGGGACUUUGAAGCCGGAGUAUACAAAUGGUACAAUCCUUUCUCUCUAUUUCUGAGCAUAGGUUCUUAUUGUUCCUUUUCUCAUAAGCUUUGCGUUAAUUGCUAGUGUUUACUUCUUUUUUUGGAGCUGCGUUGGAGUACUAUAAAUUGUUGUUUUGCUGCAGGAAACUGGUUUUCUAUCCGAAUGGAAACAAGAACAGGAAUGUGAAAGAGCACAUCUCUCUCUACUUGGUAAUGUCUGGAGCAACUGCUCCCCAUAUUUCUUCGGAAGUGUAUGCUGUUUUCAGGUUGUUUAUUCUCGAUCAGAACAACGGCAAUUACUUCGUUCUUCAAGGUACCAUUUCUUCUUUUAACUCAACGAAUAAAAAGGGCUUAUAGUUCUCAUAUUUGUGAAGCGUCGUCUCAUUUUCCAAUCUUUUUAAAAUAUGCAUUGCUCAGAACCAAAGGAAAGGCGGUUUCAUGGGAUGAAACUCGAUUGGGGAUUCGAUCAAUUUCUCUCCCACAAAGCUUUCACUCAAGCUUCAAAUGGAUUUCUCAUAGAUGACACUUGUGUUUUGGGAGCAGAGGUCUUUGUUUCUAAAGAGAGAAGCAAAGGCAAAGGAGAGUGUCUAUCAUUGGUAAGCAAAGGCAAAGGAGAGUGUCUAUCAUUGGUAAAGGAUCCUAUUAUGUACAAGAAUACUUGGAGGAUUGACAACGUAUCAAAGCUAGAUGCGGAAUCCUACGACUCAAAAACAUUCAUUGCAGGAGACCAAAAAUGGUAUAUAACACUAAACUUGUCAGACUUCGCUCUUGGUAUAAGAAAUUUCUCUUGAAGAUAUCGAAAACUUAAGCACAGUUUAUCUGAAAGUGUUGUAAAUGUGAUAGUGGUUGUUGCAGGAAGAUGCAGCUCUAUCCCAAGGGAAAGGGCAAUGGAGUUGGAACCCAUCUUGCUUUUUUUCUGGCGUUAGUCGAACCAAAAUCUCUUCCUCCUGGCUGUCAAAUAUAUGCAGAGUUUAUUUUACGGAUCCUAGACCAGAAGUAUGGCCAGUACCAUAUCUCUAGUAAAGGUAAAGAUUUUGCCUAAUCCUACUGCUACAUAAUAAUACGAGCAAAAAGGAUUAGAACAUCUAACAAACAUUCAAUUAAGGGUGGUUUUAUUGCCGCCAUCAUGCUAAAAUUCCCACCAUGAACUACGAUGAGACUCUAGUUCUUGGAGGUCUUUGAGUUGUGAUGGCAUACCAUGUUGGUGAUACUUACUGUUGAACCUACGUUCAGUGGAAAGCCAAUAUCGAGAAUUUCUUAUUGCAACCUACUGAAAAUGUUCACAAUUAGUCAGUAGUGAAAGAUUUUAGGGUUUAAUUCGUUUUGGGAUUCAGGUAGCCCAAUCAGUCAUCCUCACAGUCCAUUUUCUGAAAACAUUCGAGUGUUUCUUCAAGAAUGUACUGAACUUGAAGACUGCAGUGUCCGGGGCAUUCCCAUUUGGUGCACUCUUGAAAUGUUGAAACUCAUGUUGAACUUCUAGUAUUUAGCAUAAAGUAAUUGAAUGUUUUCAGCAACAUGACAAUAAACCGUAUAUAGACAACAAUUUAAUAUGUUUAGUGUCAUCCAGUUCUAUCUUUUAUUAAAAGUUUGUAACCAACUCUAUUUGCAUGUUUUACCCUUGUGGAAAUAGACUCUUUGCAACGUAAGAGUAAAGCUGUUUAUGAUAGAUAUUCCUUCCCGGAGAGUCCUGUUAGCUUGGAGUCACCCUUUUACCCUUUUUUCCAAUAUACUAUUGAACUGAGAAUCCUUUUUGUUGAUUGCAGCAAAUCACUGGUUCAGUGUCUCAAAUUCGAUGAAGGGAUGGAUGAGAUUUACUACUCUGGGAUCAUUCAACCAGACACACAUUGUGUUGAAUGAUACUUGCAUUGUGGAGGCAGACGUCACUAUCCAUGGAAUUAUUGAUGUACUGUAGCCAAAUAGUAUAAUAGUACAAAAUUCCUGCUAUGUGAAACUUUGGGGGUGUAAAAUAGUAAAGCUAGUCGAAUAAGGUGUUAAAAACACAUUCAUUUCACUUGUGAAUACCAUUGUAUCGUUUGUGACUACAUGGUGAAUAAAUACAUCAUUGUCUGCUCUUCGUAUACCCUUCUUUGACUACUACAAAAUGGAGUUAUUGUGUCAUAGGUGAUGUCGCUUUAAUAUAAUAUAAUGGCGGACAAGACAUUUACGACACCUACUGAACAUGACGUCGGAUUUACUGUCGCUUGUAAGCAUCAUAAACUGUCUAUGUCGCUUUUAACCUACAUAAACAUUUAAUGUCACUUAUAAUAACCGGCAUACAUUUUAAUAAUUUUUAAAUAAUGGUGUCGCUUUAAAAAAAUAGUGUCGCUUUUAAGCGACAUAAAGUAUUGGUGUCGCUUUGAACCAAUGCAAUGUUUUCUUAUUUCCACGCAACUUGCAAUCACUAUCAUGUCUAUUAGGCUUGCUUCGGUUUGAACCGAGGCAUAAUUUUCUUAUUUCGACUCCAUUUUCAUCAAGUCUAUCAGGCUCACGUCGGUUUUAACCGACACAUUUUUUUCCUAUUUCGACACCACUUGCCUUUUAGUAAGUGUGUCAGACUACUUGACUUAGUGUCGGUUUUAACCGACGUGAAGUCCAAAUAUUUCGAUGCCAAGUGCGUUUCAAUCAGUGUGUCAGAGAAAAGCAGCAAUAGAGCUCAAUAUAUUGGGGUAACAAUGUAGUCCUUAUUUCUCAUCUCUAAACCCUUUUUGAAAACCUGUAUUUACGUAAUUUUUUUACAAAAUUUCUUCUUCUUGAAAUGGGCAGUGGCCGAAAGGGCAAUAUUCCCCAGAGGGUUCCUCUCCCCCCCUCCUGUGUAUGGAGCAUCAUCUUUUAGCAGCUCAAAAACUUCCCGUGCUACCAGUUUCAGUUUGCCAUCUUUCACGAACCCUUCCCAUACCAGUUACGAGCCAAGUGUUCCUUCUUAUUAUGGAGAUAGCAGUUCCGUCGGUACAGCUCCACCUACUCCCAACUCAACCUAUGAUAAUCAUGUAUGCAAACUUCUCAGUUGCCACCUCUAAAUACUGUUUUGAUGGGUUUGUAGCGCUCUUGAGGGUUAACAGUUUAUAUGGUGAUGAACAGGUUUGCUGUUAGACCCCACAUCGCUUAAGGGAGUGGAUCUUCUAUGCCUUAUAUGUACAUACCCACCUCUUAUAGCACGAGGCAUUUUGGAGACUCACUAGCUUCGGGUUCCAUAGGAACUUUAAAGUUAAACGAGAAAAAGGCCACAGCAUUCCCAGGAUGGGUGACCCCUCGGGAAGUUCUCGUGUGAGUUCCUAGAAACAAAACUAUGAUGGCAUGGUUGGGGUCCAAAGCGGACAAUAUCGUGCUACGGCGGAGUAGAGCCUAGGAUGUGAUGGGGGCUAGGUUGGGAUGUGACAUUUGCCCCAUUUGCCUUACGAAUCCGAAAGACAUGGCCUUUGGUUGCGGGCAUCAAGUACAUUUUUGAACUAUAGUUUCAAGAUGAGUUGAGACGAUCAUAUUUUUAGUACCGUGUUCUUAGUGUUAUGUUUUCGGUGCAGACAUGCUGCAAAUGCAGACAAGAUCUUCAGUCGUGCCCAAUAUGCCGAAGUGCAAUCCAAACCCGGAUAAAACUGUAUUAACGACUAUGUGCUUUCAUGCCGGAGUUGGCUGACAUUUUGUGUAUUUGUUUAUUUUUCAAUCACAUUCUUUGUAAUCCAUUGCUUCAGGUGGUCAGGAGGUUACUAGGUUUGGUAAAUGGUUGGUCAAAUCCAGCGUAUGGUGAUGAUGAUCCUUUUUUUUUUUUUGGUUGUUUAAGAAGAAAAUGAAAAAGAAGUGAAGAGCUAGCCUCAAAGAAGUGAAGUUUUGGUGAUUUUAUGGACAACAUCAUAAUUAUUUUAUUUAUGGAGAUGUUAGUUAAUGUCGGUUACGACCGACAAUAGAUCUACUAUUUUAUUUAUUUAACUUACGUGAUGUCGGUUUGGACUGACAGUAAGUGUGAUAUUUUUAUUGUGUAUUUGUUACUUAAGGUCGGUUUUGACUGCUAUCAUAUCAGAUUUUCAUGUCGCUUAUAAGCGACGUAAGAGCCGAUGUCGCUUUUAAGCGACGCUGUUGUUCAUUUUUAUUUGGGAUACUUUGGAUGCGGUCCCUAAUCCUUAACAUUAUUUGAUUAAAUCUUAAUGGUAUUCAAAGUUUGAUCAAAGUCCAUUGACUUUGUACACCUCAUUAUAUUACUAUUAAUAUUUAUAUUUUUAUAGUUUUGACAUUAAUUGUUUGAUAUUUUAUGAGAUUCAAAAUCAUAUAAAUUUAAAAUCCCUCAUUAUAAUACUAUUAGAAACGGUUACAAUAAAAAGAGUUCAAACAUUUUGAUUGAAUAAAUGGAUAAAAACUAUGUAAAAAUAAGAAAUAAUAAAUGGCAAAAGAAUGUAUCCAUAGUGUUAAAAAAAUUGGUACAUUUUACAAAAAAAUUGGUACAUUUCACAUAUGACAAAGUGGUACAUUAAUAAAGAAGAAUGGGUACAUUAUAAAUAAAUUAGGGUAUAUAUAAAAGAUUAAAAAAUUAUGAGUACAAAUGAAUUUUCAAAAAAUAUAGGCCCUAAAAGAAUUUAAAACAUGGGUACAAAAUAAAACUAAAAAGAAAAUACUACAAAUUUUAAAAAAAUGUUGCAAAUUAAAAGUGAGUACAAACUAAAAAUAUAAAUAUAUGAUACAAAGUUUAGGCAUAAAACAUAAAUAUACCAUAUGUAAUUUUUCUUUUAUCAUUGAUUAAAUAUACAAUGUCACGUGACGGUAUACACAUGGGUACAAACACAAAUAAAACUUAAAAAAAAGAUGGGCACAAAAAGAAACUAAUAUAUGGGUACAAAUAAAAAAUGAAAAGAAAAUUGGUACAAAUUAAAACAUAUUUGCAAAUUAAAAAUAGGUACAAACUAAAAAUAAAAAUAUAUGAUUAAGAAUUUAGCCAUAAAUAUAAAUAUACUAAUUGUAACAUUUUUAACACUAAAGGAAUAUAUUUAAAAAUAAAAAUAUUUUAUUAUUCAAAUAAUUAAUGAUGUUAUUAAUACCUAAGGACCUUGAUAAAAAAAUUAAAAAUGUUUAAUCAAUGGAGUAACAAAAAGAAGGAUGUGAAGCUAAUAUCUCAUUUUUAUUUUAUAUUACUUUGCUUCUUGGUGGCGGAUUAAGGGGGCUAAGCGACAUCAUUACCCUUUUGGUGAUGGUAGUAUUGGUGUCGGUUCCUCUAUUCGACAUUGCAUGAUUUAAUGUCAGAUUUUUACCAAAAAUCCGACAGUAAUUGGUGUUUCUUGUUGGUUUUACACCGCCAGUGAUAUCCUCUUUUGUAGUAGUGUUUGUUUUCGGUUUCAUUUUUCCUUCCAUGGUGCUCGAGAGCAUAGAAUACUCCAGACUUUUUAACCUUUAGAUUUUAAUUUCUUUAUUUUUAAACAAAGAUCUGAACGGUUAAAGCACACGCAGUAUCCCAUACUCUGGGACAUCGCAGAAAAUCCUUUCUUUUUUCGUUGAACUUCGAUUUGGUUGUUUACAGAGGAAAAGAUUGGAAAUAUAUUGGGACAUGAAAGAUAAAUGAGACAAUACUGAAUUGGAAAAUGUUGCAUUUAAUAAAAGUUGUGAACUUUACAGAAUUCACAAUGAAUCAAAUAUACAAAGAACAUGAUAAUACAGAGUGAAGCGGGCCUCACAUGCCUGUUCUGAUAGGGACGAGGCGAUUAGAUAAUUAGGGGAGGAGAUGGCAAGAUUAGCCAAAGGUUUUCUCGCUGCUGUAACACAUCCAGGAAACGGUCAUCCUCCUUGUAAGUUUCAUAGAUGGAAUCCAAGCGACUGGCCGUAAAGAAAUACACAUAAUAAAGUGUUAAAGUGACUCCGAAAACAUGAUUCAUGCGCGAAAUUGUACUGGUCGAAUGGAUGACAACACGCUCUUUACCUGUUUGAGGUAAAGUGUUCUUCACAUAAACAAAAAGAGCGUUCCUUGGGGUCAAGUGAAGCCUACUGCUUAAGAUAUGGAUAAACUGUCCGACAGACAUAUCCCUAGGAACUAGGAAUUUAGAAGAAACAAGGAAACACGGGAUAGAGGUUAUUCUCCUUAAAGUGAGAAUGCAUAAACAAGCAGCUAAAAUUGACUGAGGAUCCUCUCCGGAUCCUCUUUGUGAGAAUUUCGGGGACCCUCAAAUCAUAUUUGUUCAUCGUACAUCGUGUGGUCAGUUUUCGUUAGAUACUGUUUAUAUUUAAUUUUAAAUAAAAGUAUUAAAAUAAUUUCUAACAGUACGAUAUACGAUGAACAGACACGAUUUGAGGAUCCCCACAAAGAGGAUCCGGAGAGGAUCGUCGUUCACUAAGGGUUAGUUUGGUAUUGCUGUGCUUUGAAAAAAAGCUGCUGUGAGAAUAAGCGGCUGUGCUGUGAGAAUAAGCAGCACUCCCAAACCACCCCUAAAAUUGUCCAAGAAGUAAAACAUUGGGAUUAUACAAAGCUGCAGAUAAAGGAAAUUCAUCCAAGCAAAAAAGAUCCUCAGAACACAGAGCGAGUAACAGAAGCCAAGCUCUCUGUUAUACAAGAACGAAGAGUUAUAUAUUCAGGAUUCCUAUAAUUAUGUCACAUAAACCAGGAAGAAGGACCUAGAGACGGAAACUUUACUGACCUAUAAGAAUAUCGAAAUUCUUAUAUCCUAGAAAGUUUCAUUUACAAAUGUCGAUGUGAAAUUGUAAAACUAGGGUGCCAUAUUGCAUUCAAGUUUGUUCUUGACAUAGGAAAGAUUGACCUUGUAGAAAAUGAAGAGAACUGUGACAACUAAAACAUACUUUUUCUUUUCCAUUUCAGGCAGGUCUAUCCAGGAAUAUCUUUCAAUGUUCCCCUGCAGAAAGACAUAAAAAGAACACCCUAAUCAGUUUUGACAUCUUAUCCACCCUCUCAAAAAUGCUUCCAAUCAAGUCUAACCGUGUCGCUUGUACUUAAAUUAAGCCACUUUAUGAUUGCACAUGUGAGGUUAUACGAUAAAAUCUUCCUAAAAUAAUCAAUUCUUCCCGAGUGUAUCAGAUCUGUACACGAAAUGCAAUGAAAAAAACAUCGAUCAAUGAUACACAAUUCUUCGAGGUGAUAAUGGGAACCAUCAUGUUAAAACUUAAAUUUAUUUCCGUGUUUUGAAAGUUUUGAACAAAAAAAAAAGAAUUGCCUGAAAGUGAAUAUCAAACCACAUAAGAUAAUAACAACUUCAGAAAGAAAAUGUCGAAGAUUCUUCACAUACGUAAUCCACAUGAAUUAAAAAUUGACCUUCUUUCGCCACACAAACCAAAAAUUUGUCAUUUCAAAGCAUGCAUCCAUCAAAAUCUCUCAGCCACUAAAACGUUAUCACCUCUCAAUAGGGUCAAUGUCAAAUUGUAAUAGAAUAAUAAUUAAAUCUUUAACAAAUAUUAAGCAACAGAAAUGCGUGAAUAAAUUAAACAAAUUAAGAAAUUCUAAUCAACCAAAAGAUCAUAAACAAGGAUAAAUUUCCAUAUUUCCAAAUUCCAAGUGCAUUAUUAAAUUCCCAGUAUAAUGGCACUUCCAAAAACAAAAAUCACUGAAAAAAAAACAAAAAAAAAACCUCACCGGAACUCGAUCUGGGUAGUUUGCAAUUAUAUAUAUAUUUUUAUUCUUCAAGUCGUUCAUCAAAAAAAAAAAAAAAAAACCCAAUAAUUAGCACCAAAAAAAACAAUAUUUUGCAAUUAUAUUUUGUUUGGUCACAGAAAACUAGUGCUGUACCCAAAUGGAAACAAGACGAGACGAGAAAUGUGGCAGGCCAAAUCUCUCCUGACUGGUUGGGAAGUUUAUGUUGAUAUCAGGUUCUUUUUGCUUGAUCAGAAGAAAGGAUGUACUUGGCUUUUCAAGGUAUUGCAUCGUCAUGUUUAUUUCAUCUAGUGGAGUGACAACUCGUUCUUUUUCAUAUUUUCUUAGUCUUGCUUUUAAUUUGCUGAUCCAUUUUCAUGUUGCAUUUCUUAACUAGACGUCAAUGAAAAGGAAAAGUGUUUUCAUGGGAUUAUGCCUUAUUCGGGUUUUGAUCAAUUCAUCCCUCUUAAAGCGUUUACUAAUGCUUCCAACGGAUAUCUCAUGGAAGACAUGUAUUUGGAGCGGACAUUUUUGUUUGUAAAGAAAGAAGAAUAGGAAAUGGAGAGCGUCUAUCAAUGAUCAAGGAUGCUGUUAAGUGCAAGCAUGUUUGGAAGGUUGAGAACUUUUCAAUGUUAGAUGUUGAGAGUUACUACUCACAACUCUUAAUUGCUGAAGACCUGAAAUCGUGACACACCCCAACCCCGAUGUCCGGAGGACAACGGAAUGGCCACGUGUUGGCCGACAUCCAAGUGUGACGUAAGCCAUUUAAUGAAUGCAUAUGCCGAGAAGAAGUUUGUGACAUUCAAUCGGCCUGGACGACCGUCAGUCACAUUUCAAGGUGAGCGACGAAUCCUUCCUAACAGUAUCAUUUCUGCUAUCCAUGCGACUAAAUUGAUGCAUAAAGGAUGUGUGGGAUUUUUAGCCCAUGUAGUUACGAGGUGGGCAUAUACAUAUAAGGCACAUCACCCUCUCUCCGUUGGUCAAUGUGGGAUGUUACAAUCCACCCAGAAUGGCUCUAAUACCAUUCUGUCACAUCCCAAACCGGCUCUGCCGUAGCACGAUAUUGUCCGUUUUGGGUUCACCAUUCCCUCAUGGUUUUGCUUUUGGGAACUCACAUGAGAACUUCCCAUUGGGUCGUCUAUCCUGGGAAUGCUCUCGCCCGAACUCACUUAACUACGGAGUUCCCAUGGGAUCCGUAGCCAGUGAAUCUCCAAAAGGCUGCAUGCUAUAGGAGGUGGGCAUGUACAUAUAAGGUAUAUCACCCCCUCUCUAUUGGUCAAUGUGAGAUGUUACAAUACCAACGGAGAGAGGGUGAUGUGCCUUAUAUGUACAUGUCCACCUCCUAUAACGUGAGGCAUUUUGGGAAAUCACUGGUCCAUCGGAACUUCGAAGUUAAGCGAGUUCGGACGAGAGUAAUCCUAGGAUGGGUGACCCAUUGGGAAAUUCUCGCACGAGUUCCCAAAAACAAAACCGUAAGGGCGUGACCCAAAGCGCACAAUAUCAUGCUACGGCGGAGUCGGUCUGGGAUGUGACAUAAACAGUUGAAUCGGGUGACGGUGAAGAAUCGUUAUCCUCUACCUCGGAUCGAUGACAUGUUCGACCAACUGAAAGGUGCAUAGGUAUUCUCUAAGAUCGAUCUUCGCUUAGGUUAUCAUCAAUUACUGAUCUGUGAAGAAGAUGUGCCGAAGACUGCAUUCCACACUAGGUAUGGACACUACGAGUUCCGUGUCAUGCCUUUUGGAUUAACAAAUGCACCUGCAGCAUUUAUGGAUUUGAUGAACAUAGUCUUUAGACCGUAUCUGGAUCGGUUUGUGAUUGUGUUUAUUGAAGACAUUCUAAUUUAUUCCAAAAGUGUUGCCAAGCACAAGAAACAUCUGAGGAUGGUGCUGGAAAGCCUAAGAAUCAAUCAGCUGUAUGCUAAGUUCAGUAAAUGUCAGUUUUGGCUUAACCAGAUUAGUUUUCUUGGACAUGUAGUGUCUGCUGAGGGAAUUAGUGUGGACCCUCAAAAGGUUUCAACAGUGUCUACUUGGGAGCAACUGAGAAACGUUACUGAAGUGAGAAGUUUUCUAGGUCUAGUUGGCUAUUAAAGAUGUUUUGUAUAGGACUUCUCAACAAUUGCCUUGCCUUUUACUAAGUUAACUCGUAAGGGGGUCAAGUUCGAAUGGGAUGAGAAUUGUGAACAGAGUUUCCAGGAGCUUAAACGGCGUUUUACUCAAGCUCCCGUCCUUGCUCUUCCAAACGAUGGUGAUGAGUUUGAGAUUUACAUUGAUGCAUCUCUGUCAGGUUUGGGUUGGGUUCUGAUCCAGCAUGGGAAGGUUAUCGCCUAUGCUUUUAGACAACUCAAGAAUCACAAAAGAAAUUAUCCUACUCAUGAUCUGGAGCUCGGAGCAGUAGUUUUUGCCCUAAAGAUCUGGAGACACUAUUUGUACGGCGAAAAGUGCCGCAUCUUCACUGAUCACAAGAGCCUAAAACAUGUCCUCACUAAGGAGGAUUUGAAUUUGAGGCAGAGAAGAUGGAUGGAACUCAUCAGUGAUUAUGACUGCACUAUCGAAUAUCAUCCCGGACAUUCCUAUUUCGUACGGCUUUACGAUGAUGGAGUAUCUGUGAGUGGACCCCUUCUAAAUUGCAUGUUUUAAAUAGUAGAAAUGCAUACAUGAAAAACAUGAUUUAUUGAUUAUAUUUUAUGAAACGUUUUAUAAGAUAUUCUGCUUACUUAAAAUAUUUUGGAAUACCAUAUUUUCUAUCAAACCCAUGUUCUUUGUAGAGUUUCUGAUGGAUGACGAUAUACUAUUUAGAACAUGUUUUCACACCCUUCUUUAUAGUAUAGAUGAUGGAUAACUUUAUACUAUAAAGAUGCUUUUGAAAUAUAUGUAUCUAUGUUUUAGAAAGACUAUGUUCAAUGGUUUUGUGCGUAUCUAGUGGUCACUGUAUUACCUUCAGGCGGGUGUGUGUAGGGCACUGUUCUAUGCAUAUCAAAGAUACUUACAACGCCAUUCUCUUCUUUCUCUUCUUUCACAUAAUUGACCUUCGCAUCAAGUGUGAUGUUUGGAGCUCUACAUUCCCAAGCAUAAUGUCCGAACUUUUGACAAUUAUAACAUUGAACUUGAGAUUUUUCAUACCUUAAGUUUGAGCGACCUCUUCCACUACCUUUUGUUGAGCUUUCUCUUCUUUCGUAGUUGCUAUGGUUGUUGAAGUUCCAACCACGUCCACGCCCAUGUCCACAUCCCCGACCUCGGCCACGACUUCUUCUAUACUGGCUUCUCUCGUUGUCGAAGCUUUCUUCUUUCUUCUUUGGCUAGACAUGUGUCUUAAGGAGCUGCUCAUCAUUUCCUUGCCUCUUCUUAUGUUUCUCUUCAUAUGCUUGUAGCGAACCCAUUAAUUGCUCUAUACUAAUUUCUUCCAAGUUUUUAGUUUCUUCAAUCGUCACGACAAUGUGCUCGAACUUGGGGUCCAACGAGCGUAGUAUCUUCUCCAUAAUUCUAACAUCUUCUAACUUUUCUUUGUCUCUUAAUUGAUUGGAAACGGCUAAGACUCUUGAGAAAUAAUCAGAGAUUGAUUCAGACCCUUUCAUUUGUAGAGAUUCAAACUCACCUCUUAAUACUUGAAGACGAACCUUUUUCACUUGUUCGGCUCCUUUGUAAGAGGUUUGAAGCUUCUCCCAUGCUUGCUUGGCAGAGGUUGCACUCGAGACCUUCUCAAAGCCAUUGUCAUAUAAUGCUUGGCAGAUGAGGUAGAGAGCCUUCUUGUGUCUCUUUCUUGAAUCUUUCAAACUCACCUUCUAGGGUUGGGACAUAGCAGCUUCAUCUUUUGGCUCAGUGUAGCCUUUCUCCACAACUUCCUAUACACCUUGUGCUCCCCAAAGGGCCUUCAUUUUGAUACUCCAAUUAUCGAAGUUGUUGUUGUCGAGCACUAGAACUUGGAAGACUGCCAUAGCGUUGCUAGCCAUAGCUAUGGUACCACUUUGUUGGGGUUUAAAAAUGCUUCACUACUUUGGAGAUGUUUGUCUCACAAAGAAGAGUAUGACGCAACGGAAUUUGAUAGGCAAGAGAAAGAAAAAACACUCAAAGUAUUACACAAUUUUUAUUCUCACACAAACUUAGUACAAGAGGAAACACUCACUCUUAGAAGCUUUGUUAGUUCUUCUCACUUCUUACUCCUCACUUCACUCUUUUUCUCACUUCCUCUCUUAGUUGUUACAUCACAUAGCUUAGCACCUCACCUAUUCAUAGGCAAGGUUUGCCAACUUUGGCAUUGCUAGAACUUUCUAGCUAAGGCUUAACAACAACAUUUUUACAAGAUUCUAGAUCUUUCUACAAAAGCCUUAGAUAUUUAUGCAUGCAGUCCACCAACUUGAACUUUGCUAGAACUCUGUAGCAUGUGCAUGGAUCUUUCUUUGUGUAUGGGCCGGAUCAAUUGUCUUGGGCCAAGACAAGGUUACAAUUCAACACGGAUAUCUCAUGGAAGACAUGUAUUUGGAGCUGACAUUUUUGUUGGUAAAGAAAGAAGAAAAGGAAAUGGAGAUCGUCUAUCAAUGAUCAAGGAUGCUGUUAAGUGCAAGCAUGUUUGGAAGGUUGGAAGGUUGAGAACUUUUCAAUGUUAGAUGCUCAGAGUUACUACUCACAACUCUUAAUUGCUGAAGACCAGUAAUCGUAUCUCCAAUAGCUUUUCAAUUUUCUAUCUUAUCAAUACCUUUUCUUUGCUGAAGUCAAUUUUCAGCUAACUGAAAAGAGAUGGAUAUACUUUAAGAGGUUUGAAGUACAUAUGCAAUUUGUACGUACAUAAUGUUUACAUUAUCCCUUAAGGUGUCAAGUUGUAGUUUUGCUUCUAAUGUAAAAAAUUGCUCCUUUUUCUUAAACUUGAAAGGUUAAUGGAAUCUUGAAAUGUUCUCAUAUACCUCUUCUGAUGGUCGCUGGAGGAAGAUUCAGCUCUGUCCGAAAGGAAAUUAUGAUGAGAAGGGUACUCGUAUUUCACUUUACUUGGAAUUGGAUGGUUCAGAAGACCUUCGUGAUUCUAAAGUGUUUGCUGAGUUUUCCUUGCGCAUUCUAGAUAAAUCCCUUCCUUGAACAAGUCUUCUGAAGGUAAAUUUGUCCUAUUUCAAUGUUUAAUUAUGUAUAUAGUCUCAUAUAACAUGAGGAUUUAUUCCGUGUCCAUGUAGCUAGUCGCUGGUUCAGUGUCGCGGAUUAAAGUUUUGGUUGGUCUUGUUUCAUUCCACUGGACACUUUCAAACAUGCAGGCAAGGGGUUUUUGAUGAUACUUGCAUAGUGGAGGCCAAUGUCACUGUCCUCGGAGCUGCAAAAGCACUGCAGUCUACUUGUCUUCAGUUUCAAUGUUGCUAAAAUGAUGUUAACUGACUUAUGAAUAUGAAUGAAAGUUCUGCGUCCACGAUAUGGUUUGUACUAAAUGUGGCGCUUCUAUAGAACCCUAGAGCAGCAAUCCUUUCCCACCAAAUGACUUGUGGUUGAAAGGCAUUUUUAUCUUUGAAUUUAUGUUGGGCUCAAGUUUGUGCUUUUGUUUAAAAAAUGAUUGAAAUGCAUUUUUUGCUCAAAAAUAUGGUUGAGCGCCAAAUAUACCGAGUCUUGACUAGUAAUGUCAUACGACUAACAUCUCUUGUCUAUAGCCGAAACUUUGUUUUGUUUGUGUAAUCUUAACCCUCUUGACAAUGCUAAACUAGGGAUGGGCAACGGUUAUGGCGGGCGGGUAACUGCGGUUAUUUACUCAUAACCGUUAAAGUUUUUAUCCGCAUAACCAUUUACCCGUUGGGUAUUUACAUAAACGGGUAUACUCAUACUCAUAACUGUUUAUAAACGGUUAACCAUACCCAUAACCGCAUACCUAUUUAACCAUAAUCGUGUACCUGUUUACUCUUUUUUUUUUCACCUGUCUACCUAUUUUUUUAACAACUUGAAAAUUAAAAAGAAAUUGUCAUACUUUUCUUUUUCUAACAAUUAAAUAUCGUUAUAAAUACAUUUAACAUGAAUUUUUGUAUUAACGGCAAUAUUAUUUAUGAAUAUAUGGGAUGUCUCCCAAUUAUUUGACCGUCAAUCUAUUACAAGAAUCAUGCAUGGUCGUAGGUUAAUUAAUAUUCUUGUAUACAUACAUGCAUACAUACAUACAUACAUAUAUAUGUAUGUAAGUAUGCAUCAGUCUGCUAAUAAGCUAAUUUGAUAAAUAUUUUCAUUUUUAUUUAGAAACAUAUGUUCAUCGAUUCAAGCCAUUUAAUUGAUUUCUAAUUUUUGGAGAAUAUGUGUAAAAUUGGACAAUGUGUUUUGAAGCACCUAAAAGCAGGUGAUGGAUACAUUUUCAAUGAAAAAAGGCAACCCUUUGAAGCAAAGCAUGACGGUUCUAUUCUAUCCCUUUUUUUUUUCCUUGACAAACAAUAGCAUUGCUAGGUUCAAUUGUUAGUGUUCAGGGGAGAUCAAACCCUCACCAAGGCACAUAGGCAUGAUUGCUUUCCGCCAUUGCGGUAAAGCAUCAUCUACAACAUUUAUAUCCUUUAAAGCUUUCUAGUUAGGAAUAACACCUAUAUUUUUCCUUACAAGCAGGUGAUGGAUACCUUUCAAAUGAAACAAUGGCAACCCUUUUGAAGCAAAGCAUAACAUUUCUAUCCUUAAAAGCUUGCAAGUUAGGAAUAAUACACCUUUAAUUUUUCCUUAUAAGCAGGAAAACAUAUUUGGUUCUAGAACAGAAAAC
Molecule: long non-coding RNA, 14737 nt
Filed under: Malus domestica (apple)
Lineage: Eukaryota; Viridiplantae; Streptophyta; Magnoliopsida; Rosales; Rosaceae
Source: RNAcentral